RNAcentral lists this ribosomal RNA (828 nucleotides) under uncultured Alphaproteobacteria bacterium. RNAcentral describes it as "bacterial SSU rRNA". It matches the Rfam family "Bacterial small subunit ribosomal RNA", at positions 32 to 907 of the family's 1533-position model. The record is from RNAcentral. Lineage: Bacteria; Pseudomonadati; Pseudomonadota; Alphaproteobacteria.
AACGCUGGCGGCAGGCCUAACACAUGCAAGUCGAGCGCUCUCUUCGGAGGGAGCGGCGGACGGGUGAGUAACGCGUGGGAACGUGCCCUUCUCUAUGGAAUAGCCACUGGAAACGGUGAGUAAUACCAUAUACGCCCUUCGGGGGAAAGAUUUAUCGGAGAAGGAUCGGCCCGCGUUAGAUUAGGUAGUUGGUGGGGUAAUGGCCUACCAAGCCUACGAUCUAUAGCUGGUUUUAGAGGAUGAUCAGCCACACUGGGACUGAGACACGGCCCAGACUCCUACGGGAGGCAGCAGUGGGGAAUCUUAGACAAUGGGCGCAAGCCUGAUCUAGCCAUGCCGCGUGAGUGAUGAAGGCCUUAGGGUCGUAAAGCUCUUUCGCCAGAGAUGAUAAUGACAGUAUCUGGUAAAGAAACCCCGGCUAACUCCGUGCCAGCAGCCGCGGUAAUACGGAGGGGGUUAGCGUUGUUCGGAAUUACUGGGCGUAAAGCGCACGUAGGCGGAUUAGAAAGUUGGGGGUGAAAUCCCGGGGCUCAACCUCGGAACGGCCUCCAAAACUCCUAGUCUAGAGUUCGAGAGAGGUGAGUGGAAUUCCAAGUGUAGAGGUGAAAUUCGUAGAUAUUUGGAGGAACACCAGUGGCGAAGGCGGCUCACUGGCUCGAUACUGACGCUGAGGUGCGAAAGUGUGGGGAGCAAACAGGAUUAGAUACCCUGGUAGUCCACACCGUAAACGAUGAAUGCCAGUCGUCGGCAAGUAUACUUGUCGGUGACACACCUAACGGAUUAAGCAUUCCGCCUGGGGAGUACGGUCGCAAGAUUAAAACUCAAAGG